Molecule: ribosomal RNA, 346 nt
Filed under: uncultured bacterium
Lineage: Bacteria
Description: bacterial SSU rRNA
Rfam family: Bacterial small subunit ribosomal RNA
Source: RNAcentral
AGAGUUUGAUCAUGGCUCAGGAUGAACGCUAGCUACAGGCUUAACACAUGCAAGUCGAGGGGCAGCAUGUUGGUUGCUUGCAACCAAUGAUGGCGACCGGCGCACGGGUGAGUAACGCGUAUCCAACCUACCCUUGUCCAUCGGAUAACCCGUCGAAAGGCGGCCUAACACGAUAUGCGGUUCACAGCAGGCAUCUAAGGUGAACGAAAUGUGAAGGAGAAGGAUGGGGAUGCGUCUGAUUAGCUUGUUGGCGGGGUAACGCCACAAGGCGACGAUCAGUAGGGGUUCUGAGAGGAAGGUCCCCCANAUUGGAACUGAGACACGGUUCCAAACUCCUACGGGAGCA